Molecule: ribosomal RNA, 406 nt
Filed under: uncultured bacterium
Lineage: Bacteria
Description: partial 16S ribosomal RNA
Rfam family: Bacterial small subunit ribosomal RNA
Source: RNAcentral
AUUGAACGCUGGCGGCAGGACUAACACAUGCAAGUCGAACGAGUGGCGGACGGGUGAGUAAUGUCUGGGAAACUGCCUGAUGGAGGGGGAUAACUACUGGAAACGGUAGCUAAUACCGCAUACCAUCAGAUGUGCCCAGAUGGGAUUAGCGUGUUGGGGGGGGAACGGCUCACCACGGCGCCGAUCCCUAGCUGGUCUGAGAGGAUGACCAGCCACACUGUAACGGCGACACGGUCCAGACGCCGACGGGAGGCAGCAGUGGAGAAUAUUGCACAAUGUGCGCAAGCCUGAUGCAUCCAUGCAGCGUGUAUGAAGAAGGCCUUCGGGUUGUAAAGUACUUUCAGCGGGGAGGCGUUACCCGCAGAAGAAGCACCGGCUAACUCCGUGCCAGCCGCCGCGGUAAUAC